AGUAGCCUGAGGGCUUGCUGUUGGGUGGGGCCAGUCCCUAGGGCAGACUUCCUGCCUUGGCAGAACUGGAUUAAAUCUGCACUCUAGUGGGUGUGGCAGACCCCUGGGCUAACAGGUCAGGGGAAAAACUUCAAUGGCGUCUGCCAGGGUCUGUGUCAGCACGCCUGUACUAGGUCACAGCAAUGGCCACCACCAAUGUCUCAGUCUCUGGAGAGGUCUCUCCUCUCACUGAGAUGCACUCAGAGCCUACCAGGGGAGUCUCUUUUCACCAAAGGACUGUCAGCCUUCUUUCCGGUGAUUUUCAGUUUCUCUCUGAGACAGAAAAUUCUUGACACUCCUGAGAUUAACAUGAGGAGCACCUAUCACCAGACUUGCUCCCAUGAUGCAAAGCUGUUUGAACUGUUAGCGGGAAUAACUAGCGUUGGUGGACUGGAUUUCAAGCCUAUGAGAACACGUGGAGAAGGACUACACGUGGAACUUGUUCUCAGAGAAUUUCAUCAGGUCUGAAAUUCAUACUGAGCUCAUGUAAGACUUCCUUCCUCUAAUGGUCUCAAUGCUUUCUUUACGUCUGUAAUCAUUAUACAAUUUCAUUAGUAUUUGUGGUAAAACUUAGAAAACCUCAAAUGCUUUUAAAAGAAAGUUACUAGUGUGUGUGUUUCUUUAAACAAACACAUGAAAGGGUUUCUUAUUAAUAAGAUACCGCUACUUCUUCAUAAUCCCUUUUACAGUUUUAAAUCUGGGAGUGUAAUUCACCACUAGGGGAUUACUAUAGUAGCAUUGAGUUUUAAGUCCUAAAUUACAAAAUUCUCAAUAAAUAAAUUUCAAUCUACUGCCAAUUACAGGAAUACAGCAGCAAAUAGUACUUGGCAGGCACUGCAUGAU
RNAcentral lists this long non-coding RNA (882 nucleotides) under Equus caballus (horse). Its description in RNAcentral is "lncRNA (ENSECAG00000049312.1)". The record is from RNAcentral. Lineage: Eukaryota; Metazoa; Chordata; Mammalia; Perissodactyla; Equidae.